Molecule: long non-coding RNA, 2195 nt
Filed under: Solanum lycopersicum (tomato)
Lineage: Eukaryota; Viridiplantae; Streptophyta; Magnoliopsida; Solanales; Solanaceae
Description: long non-coding RNA (SLYC_LNC000608)
Source: RNAcentral
AACAACCCCACACACAAAAUUGCUCUCAAACCAUAAAAAAAAACAAGUCUUGUUUGCUUUUCUUGAAGUUUCAGCUGCUUUUUGUUGCAAAGGUUGAAACUUUAUCCAGUGAAAAAUGAAGUCUUGGCAGUCUGGUGAUGUUUGCUUAACUUUCUCUUUAGAAUUUUAGCUAAUUUUUCCUCUGGUUUUUGGUACCAUUUUGUGUUCAUAGGGUUAAGAAUGUUACUGUGGAAGUGAUGGUUUUUGUGCUUAUCAUAACAUUUUGCCUUGUGGGGUUUUGAAAGUUUUGAUUUUUGUGGUGUUUCAUAAGAUUUUGCCUUGUGGGGUUAUCAAGAUUUUGAAGUUUUUUUUGAUGAUUUAGAUGGAUUCUGGUAGUUUAUAUUCAAACAUGGGUCCUGGUAUGUUGGGAUUAGAAAUGUCAUUGCAUCAUCAAAUCCCUCCACAGAACACUCACCAUCACUUGCAUCAACAACCUCCACCUCACCCCCAGCCCCAACCCCACCACCACCCCAUGGUUUCAUUUGCACAUCAAGAAAAUAAUGAUAACCAACAACAAACAUUGAGGCAAGUUUUUCCAUUUGGUAGCAACAAGGCUAAAAAUCAAAGCUUGAAUUUUAGUGAUGAUGAUGAACCUGUUCCUGGUGUUAGUGCUGACAAUAAUAGUACUGAUGAUGGUAAAAGGAAUGGUAAUAAGACUUGUCCUUGGCAAAGAAUGAAGUGGACUGAUAAUAUGGUUAGGUUGUUGAUUAUGGUGGUUUAUUAUAUUGGUGAUGAAGUUGGUUCUGAAGGGAAUAUCAACAAUGAUUCAAGUGGGAAAAAGAAAGGUGGGAGUGGUGGGGGUGGGGGUGGGGGUGUAGGGGUUUUGCAAAAAAAGGGGAAAUGGAAAUCAGUUUCUAGAGCUAUGAUGGAAAGGGGUUUUUAUGUGUCACCACAACAAUGUGAAGACAAAUUCAAUGACUUGAAUAAAAGGUACAAGAGGGUUAAUGACAUUCUUGGAAAAGGUACUUCUUGUAGAGUUGUGGAGAAUCAAAAGUUGCUUGAAACAAUGGAUCAUUUAUCACCAAAAAUGAAAGAAGAAGUGAAGAAGUUGUUGAAUUCUAAGCACUUGUAUUUCAGAGAAAUGUGUGCUUAUCAUAAUAGUUGUGGUCAUAAUGGUGGUAGUGGGAGUGGAGUUGCUAAUCCACAAGCUCAUCAAAACCAAUCAGAGCAGCAACAACAGCAACAGAGGUGUCUGCAUUCAUCAGAAAAUACAAAUCCAAGAAUUGGUGCUAGUUUAGUAGUAGGGUCUAAAAUGCCAAAAGGGGGGGAAAAUGACGAGGAGAACGAGGACGAGGACGAGGAGGAUGAAGAUGAGGAGGAUGACGAUGAUGAGGUGUCUGGUGCAAGAGGAGGACACGAACACGAUCAUCAGAGCCACGAAGAGGAGGACGAUGACAUGGAUGAAAGAUCAAGAAAGAGGCAAAGAAAGUUGGGAACCUCAUCACCAAUGGUACAACAAUUGAGUACUGAAUUGGCUAAUGUAGUUCAAGAUAGAGGGAGGAGUUCACUUGAGAAGAUGCAAUGGAUGAAAACUAAAAUGAUGCAAUUAGAAGAACAACAUGUUAGCUAUUUGUGUCAAGCAUUUGAGCUCCAAAAGCAAAGAUUGAAAUGGAAGAAGUUUAUAAGCAAGAAGGAGAGGGAAAUGGAAAGGGAUAAACUAAUCAAUGAGAGGAAAAAAUUGGAGAAUGAAAGAAUGGUGCUUUUGUUGAAACAAAAAGAGCUUGAACUUCUUGAUUAUCAUCAACACCAUCCAAACAAUAACCAUAGGAAUAGUGACCCUUCUUCUGUUACUGGAUGAUGAAAAAAUUGUACAAUAUUAUCAGGAACUAAGAUAAUAGAUCAGAUAUAUUAUGUAAAUAUAUAGUAUGUAUGUAUAUAUGUUUUUCCAAAUUUGAAUCUUGAAUCAAAGUCUUUUAUUGCUUCUUAAUAGUUUUCCACUGAUCUGAUCUAACUUUAGUUUAUAUCUAUUAUGUUUGCUCGGACUCUUUAAAAAAGUUGAUGUUUAUAUCUAUUAUGUUUGCUCGGACUCUUUAAAAAAGUUGAUGACACAGUGUGUAUCACAUACUCCUGAAGUAGUCCAUUUUGGAGACUCUUUAAAAAUGUUGAUGACGAGUGUUUAAGAUACUCUUUAAAGUAGUUCAUUGGAAAGUUCGAGC